Molecule: long non-coding RNA, 577 nt
Filed under: Marmota monax (woodchuck)
Lineage: Eukaryota; Metazoa; Chordata; Mammalia; Rodentia; Sciuridae
Source: RNAcentral
CCGCGGGAGAAGGAUGAGCCACAGAGCUGCCCGUCCCCAGGAACUCAGGGCAGCUCCAGCCCCAGCAGCCACUGAGGGAGGCCGUGGGGACCACUCAGGUGGUCAGUAGAGACCCCGCAGUGGCCAGUCCUUGGAGGGCAGCCAAACUGUCCCUAGAGCAAAGUCACUGGAGAUCUGCUCUAACAAACUUAUUUUUAAAAAAAAAAAAAAUCCACAAAAGAUCAAGGUGAGCCGCUAACUGAUGGCAUCUUUUAAAUGGAACUCCACCCUGGGGCCAGGUUAACAGAACAAGAAAACAGCGUUCGCCACAGAAGCCACCCACAGACUAGAACCCAGGGAAAUGUAACCAAAUGUCAGCAGAAAUAGGCCCCGAAAUGACAGCGAUGAUAGAACUGUCAGACAAGGACCCUGAAAGAACAAUUAAAACAGACUUUGAAGAAAAAGGGCAACAGGAUGAGAGAAAUAGGAGUUAUUAAAAAAGGACUCAGUGAAGCUUCCUGAAACCUGAAAUGAAAGUUAUGCUGAGCCGGGUGGGCACACCUGCCAUCCCAGUAACUCGGGAGGCCGAGGCAGGAGC